AACAUCAUGGGCAACAAGUAGAGCUUCUACUACUGGAUUAGCAAUAGUCCAAAUAAGGAACAUGUGAGCCAUUUGCUGAGUGGGGUGAGUGAUGCAGCAACAGCAGGCAACGAGACUGAAGAACUUGAUGCUUUCUUUGCUUCUGUCAGCAGGGUCUCUUGAGCCUCUCUGCCUAGGGAAGGUGUUCAAGGAGAAAAACAACCAGCAGUGUAGCGAGGCUAUAAGAGAGGUUACAGCACCCGGACCAGCACCUCCAUCACAGGCUGCAGCACAUCCCUCGGUUGUGGUGCAAGGACCUGGCUUCAUCGUCGCAUGGGUUAAUGUGCAAUGUGCAACUGAAGAAAAGAGGUUUGAUGGGAGAUGAGGCCCACCAGACCUUGAUCCCGCAUGGCAGUACUGAAAUAUCAUUGCACAAAGGCAUUGCAAGCAGUGAAGGGCUGCAGCCAGCAGUGUGUUGAGACCCCGUGUUUCUGAAGGCACCCUGCAGGCUGGAGGGCAGGAUGUGUGCUGGGAUGGAGCUGUGCUAUGCUACCCUUCUGCUGAAGAAGAAAAUAUAAUUGCCUGAUGAAGAGUCAAAGCACUCGAAUUCAUCCUCGUCUCUUUCAGUGUCAGGUAUGAAGCU
RNAcentral lists this long non-coding RNA (622 nucleotides) under Gallus gallus (chicken). RNAcentral describes it as "long non-coding RNA NONGGAT007899". The record is from RNAcentral. Lineage: Eukaryota; Metazoa; Chordata; Aves; Galliformes; Phasianidae.